GGAUGUGAGGGUGAACUGGCUGCAACCUCCGUCACCCCACUAAUAACCAGAGCUGCUUCUGCAGAUCUGAUAGCCCAGGUAGGUGUCCCCUGCCUCUCCCAACACUCACUCAUUCUGUUUGUGUGCUCAGCUAGGUUCAAGAGGAUGACCUCCUCCAGACAGACAUCGAUUGGUAGAGGGCAUAUGAGUAACUGCGUGUCCUGCUAGAGCAUCCAAACAAAUACCUCAUAAACUUUAUCUUUCAGAAUAAAUUAUCAAAAGUCCAUUUUAGCAGAUAAAUAUUUAAAGUGGGGGGGUCGGACGGUAGCACAGUAGGUUAAGCGCAUUU
Erinaceus europaeus (western European hedgehog) is the source of this 328-nucleotide unclassified non-coding RNA. Its record names the gene 7SK. It matches the Rfam family "7SK RNA". Rfam says of the family: 7SK was discovered as an abundant small nuclear RNA in the mid-70s but a possible function has only recently been suggested. The record is from Ensembl. Lineage: Eukaryota; Metazoa; Chordata; Mammalia; Eulipotyphla; Erinaceidae.